CCUACGGGUGGCAGCAGUGAGGAAUAUUGGUCAAUGGACGAGAGUCUGAACCAGCCAAGUAGCGUGAAGGAUGACGGCCCUAUGGGUGGUAAACUUCUUUUAUAGGGGAAUAAAAUGUACCACGUGGGGGAUUGUGUAUGUACCAUAUGAAUAAGGAUCGGCUAACUCCGUGCCAGCAGCCGCGGUAAUACGGAGGAUCCGAGCGUUAUGCGGAUUUAUUGGGGUUAAAGGGAGCGUAGGGGGCUUGUUAAGUCAGUGGUGAAAGUUUGCGGCUAAACCGUAAAAGUGCAGUUGAAACGGGCAGUCUUGAGUACAGUAGCGGUGGGCGGCAUUC
This 334-nucleotide ribosomal RNA is filed under the name uncultured bacterium. RNAcentral's name for it is "partial 16S ribosomal RNA". It matches the Rfam family "Bacterial small subunit ribosomal RNA", at positions 338 to 669 of the family's 1533-position model. The record is from RNAcentral.